UACGUAGGGUGCAAGCGUUAAUCGGAAUUACUGGGCGUAAAGCGUGCGCAGGCGGUUAUGCAAGACAGAUGUGAAAUCCCCGGGCUCAACCUGGGAACUGCAUUUGUGACUGCAUGGCUAGAGUACGGUAGAGGGGGAUGGAAUUCCGCGUGUAGCAGUGAAAUGCGUAGAUAUGCGGAGGAACACCGAUGGCGAAGGCAAUCCCCUGGACCUGUACUGACGCUUAUGCACGAAAGCGUGGGGAGCAAACAGG
This 253-nucleotide ribosomal RNA is filed under the name uncultured bacterium. RNAcentral describes it as "partial 16S ribosomal RNA". It matches the Rfam family "Bacterial small subunit ribosomal RNA", at positions 524 to 776 of the family's 1533-position model. The record is from RNAcentral.